RNAcentral lists this ribosomal RNA (525 nucleotides) under Escherichia coli. RNAcentral's name for it is "bacterial SSU rRNA". It matches the Rfam family "Bacterial small subunit ribosomal RNA", at positions 137 to 657 of the family's 1533-position model. Lineage: Bacteria; Pseudomonadati; Pseudomonadota; Gammaproteobacteria; Enterobacterales; Enterobacteriaceae. The record is from RNAcentral.
AGGGGGAUAACUACUGGAAACGGUAGCUAAUACCGCAUAACGUCGCAAGACCAAAGAGGGGGACCUUCGGGCCUCUUGCCAUCGGAUGUGCCCAGAUGGGAUUAGCUAGUAGGUGGGGUAAAGGCUCACCUAGGCGACGAUCCCUAGCUGGUCUGAGAGGAUGACCAGCCACACUGGAACUGAGACACGGUCCAGACUCCUACGGGAGGCAGCAGUGGGGAAUAUUGCACAAUGGGCGCAAGCCUGAUGCAGCCAUGCCGCGUGUAUGAAGAAGGCCUUCGGGUUGUAAAGUACUUUCAGCGGGGAGGAAGGGAGUAAAGUUAAUACCUUUGCUCAUUGACGUUACCCGCAGAAGAAGCACCGGCUAACUCCGUGCCAGCAGCCGCGGUAAUACGGAGGGUGCAAGCGUUAAUCGGAAUUACUGGGCGUAAAGCGCACGCAGGCGGUUUGUUAAGUCAGAUGUGAAAUCCCCGGGCUCAACCUGGGAACUGCAUCUGAUACUGGCAAGCUUGAGUCUCGUAGAGG